CGCGUAGGCGGUCUUUUAAGUCAGAUGUGAAAGCCCGGGGCUUAACCCCGGAAGUGCAUUUGAAACUAAGGGACUUGAGUAUGGGAGAGGGAAGUGGAAUUCCUGGUGUAGAGGUGAAAUUCGUAGAUAUCAGGAGGAACACCGGUGGCGAAGGCGACUUCCUGGACCAAUACUGACGCUGAGGCGCGAAGGCGUGGGGAGCAAACA
RNAcentral lists this ribosomal RNA (207 nucleotides) under uncultured bacterium. Its description in RNAcentral is "partial 16S ribosomal RNA". It matches the Rfam family "Bacterial small subunit ribosomal RNA", at positions 568 to 774 of the family's 1533-position model. The record is from RNAcentral.